GUGCACCAGUCGAGAAACUUUACAAUGUGCGAAAGCACGAUAAGGGAACUCUGAGUGCCUCCUAAGGAGGCUGUUCUGAUGUCUAAAAGCAACAGAAGUAAGGGCUGGGUAAGACCGGUGCCAGCCGCCGCGGUAACACCGGCAGCCCAAGUGGUAGCCACGUUUAUUGGGUCUAAAGCGUUCGUAGCCGGCCAGGUAAGUUCCUUGGUAAAUUUAGCCGCUUAACGGUUAAGCUUUCUAGGGAAGUAACUGCUUGGCUUGGGACGUGGGAGGAGGUC
Molecule: ribosomal RNA, 278 nt
Filed under: uncultured microorganism
Description: partial 16S ribosomal RNA
Rfam family: Archaeal small subunit ribosomal RNA
Source: RNAcentral